Molecule: ribosomal RNA, 382 nt
Filed under: uncultured Azospira sp.
Lineage: Bacteria; Pseudomonadati; Pseudomonadota; Betaproteobacteria; Rhodocyclales; Rhodocyclaceae
Description: bacterial SSU rRNA
Rfam family: Bacterial small subunit ribosomal RNA
Source: RNAcentral
AGAGAUGGAUUGGCGCCCGAAGGGAGGCCUGGACACAGGUGCUGGCAUGGCUGUCGUCAGCUCGUGUCGUGAGAUGUUGGGUUAAGUCCCGCAACGGGCGCAACCCUUGUCAUUAAUUGCCAUCAUUCAGUUGGGCACUUUAAUGAGACUGCCGGUGACAAACCGGAGGAAGGUGGGGAUGACGUCAAGUCCUCAUGGCCCUUAUGGGUAGGGCUUCACACGUCAUACAAUGGUCGGUACAGAGGGUUGCCAAGCCGCGAGGUGGAGCCAAUCCCAGAAAGCCGAUCGUAGUCCGGAUCGCAGUCUGCAACUCGACUGCGUGAAGUCGGAAUCGCUAGUAAUCGCGGAUCAGCAUGUCGCGGUGAAUACGUUCCCGGGUCUU